AGCCCAACCUCUGCCGGCCCCUCCGUGGCUCUCUGAUCAGGUAUGCGGUUGUGAUGUUCAUUCGUUCAUCUCUGCCCCUGCGACGGCCAACAGACACGGCAGCUGUCGGACGGCCUCCACGCACCGCAUUCUUCCACUCUGCAUCGCAUGAGCGCCGCAGCAUUCACAGCGAAGGCAGUGAGGAGAUCGCUGGUUUGCGUGUCUUCUCUCUCAACGCCGCACUCUGCGGUGGUGACUCCCUCAAGCAGUAGAUUGCUUGGAACCUCCUCUUUUCAGCCCACGCUCCUCUUGUGCAAGGUGCAUCAUUGCCCCGGGUGAUUGGGUGUGGCGGUGGUGGUGGUGGGACGACUAUGCACGGCCACCCCCGACACUGCUCCUGGUUGGCCUGUGCUACCGGUCGGGGCACCAAUCAUCUGAGCUGGAGUGUCGUCCGUCGACGCUGCGAGCGGUAUAUACACAAGGCGGUGCGGUCUCCCAGCGUACCGCCGGAGUAAGGACGCAUCGCCGGUGCGCACGGGUUCGAAGUCAGGGGAGUGCAACAUCGAUGGAGUCGCGUACGGCGAGCUAACCGCCAAAGUCUUCUUUCGCGUUUAUCAGGAAGGUUGUCCGGUGCUCAUCGAACACCCUGCUGAGAUGCACGGCAGUCACAACCCCCGCUCAGAGGAGGCGGUGCCGAAGCACGCCCUCCUCAAUCCACAUGGCUAAGACGAGAUCACAUCGCCGGCUUGCAGUCGCGACUCGUACGCGGCCACCAAAGACAACGAUGCCACACCACAUUCACAACUACGUUUGCCCAUCAACCGGGUAAGAAGGGCGCACAGCAACCUGUGCUGAUAUCGCUUCAGCGAUCGUCAUCACCGUACCUGGGCAGAGAUGGGCUCUCUGAGGGAACCCUCUACGAAGCUCGUGCGCACGCAUCGAAAACCAGCGUUCAGCUUCGGUUUUGCAGGCACCAGCGCUGGUGUACCCCUUCACACGCACGGUGCGGCCGUCACUGAGGUGCUGCACAACCGUCGGCGCUGGUGGCUCAGCGAGCUGUGCUGUGACUCCAACGACAGGACGCUGAGCGUGGUUUCGUUCCGCCCUGUCAACCUACACACCUGCACGGGCGGCAGAGGUGCACACGUGCGCUUGCAGGUAUGACAACUUCGUCUACAUCUCCUCUCGCUGGCAUUACCGCACCCUCAACAUCGGCGAGGCUGCCUGCAUGCCGGCAUUCAUCUGAAGUCAUGGUGCGACUGGUGACGGUGGCGGGGAGGGCGAGGAAGCGGGUGAGGCUGGCGGGCGGCACGCCUUGUGUCUCUGUGGAACACAUCCUUGUUGGUGCUGCUCGCAGUCUUUCUCUUGUGUCCCCGCGCGCACCUUCUCCAGCUGACUCCACCCGGUGUGGACACUCGAAGCGAC
RNAcentral lists this unclassified non-coding RNA (1404 nucleotides) under Leishmania donovani. Its description in RNAcentral is "gene:unknown". Lineage: Eukaryota; Euglenozoa; Kinetoplastea; Trypanosomatida; Trypanosomatidae. The record is from RNAcentral.